This 172-nucleotide ribosomal RNA is filed under the name uncultured bacterium. RNAcentral's name for it is "partial 16S ribosomal RNA". It matches the Rfam family "Bacterial small subunit ribosomal RNA", at positions 338 to 524 of the family's 1533-position model. The record is from RNAcentral.
CCUACGGGAGGCAGCAGUAGGGAAUAUUGCGCAAUGGGGGAAACCCUGACGCAGCGACGCCGCGUGAGUGAUGAAGGCCUUAGGGUCGUAAAGCUCUGUUGAAUGGGAAGAAAAAAAUGACGGUACCAUUCGAGUAAGGACCGGCUAACUUCGUGCCAGCAGCCGCGGUAAU